AAGACUAUAGACCUGCGGAGUACCUGCGGAAGGAUCAUUACAGAGAGCGCCCUGCGCACCUCUCCAACCUUUGCGUACCGAAUCUCGUAUCUUGCGGGUGGUUACCUGCCCGCAGGUUUUUAACGAACGCGUUUGAAUCGUCUGAUUUUUUCCACAAAGAAAACAACUUUCAACAAUGGAUCUCU
Molecule: unclassified non-coding RNA, 185 nt
Filed under: soil metagenome
Description: partial contains 5.8S ribosomal RNA, internal transcribed spacer 2, and large subunit ribosomal RNA
Source: RNAcentral